AGCUGAGGUAGGGACGUGCUGUAGGUCGGAAUGUUACCGGCUGUUGGAUCUGUGGAUGAGGAAGAGGAUCCUGCGGAGGAGGAUUGUCCUGAAUUGGUUCCCAUUGAGACGAAGCAAAGCGAGGAGGAGGAAAAGUCUGGCCUCGGCGCCAAGAUCCCAGUCACAAUUAUCACCGGGUAUUUAGGUGCUGGGAAGACAACACUUCUGAACUAUAUUUUGACAGAGCAACAUAGUAAAAGAGUAGCGGUCAUUUUAAAUGAAUUUGGGGAAGGAAGUGCGCUGGAGAAAUCCUUAGCUGUCAGCCAAGGUGGAGAGCUCUAUGAAGAGUGGCUGGAACUUAGAAAUGGUUGCCUCUGCUGUUCAGUGAAGUGAGGAAUGUGUUUACUAUGUACAUGGUUUACUAGAAAUGUUUAUUGAUUAUAUUUCCAGCUUUAAUUUUCUUGAGUAAUUUAACUGAAUUUACACAGUUUGUUUCAUUGUAUUUUCAAACAAAUAGAAAAUAAACUUAUUAGGAAGCAUUUUCUUAAAGUGUUUCUUGCUGUCUUUUCUAUCUGCUCUAAUGUUUUGGUCCUUUUAUUGAGUUUUUAUUGCUUUUGAUGUCAGGGCUUAUUUAAUCUCUAGUACAUGAAAGUCUCAUAUGUAAAAAAUGAGUAUUCUGAAUUAAAUAUGUCAUUGGUCAUAUUUCUAAGUGUUCAACCUUAUAAAAAAAAUAAAUGACUAUCAAAAAAGAGAAAAACCUUACAUUAUGUUCCACCAGUUAAGUUUCCAAGGACAGUGUCUGUUCACUAGUCUACCAUAGACCCUAGAAGAGUUACCCAACACAUAGUAGCACUCAAAUAUUUGUUGAAUGAAUUAUAAAAAUGACUAGUUGUAUUGUUAAUUUU
Molecule: small RNA, 884 nt
Filed under: Pongo abelii (Sumatran orangutan)
Lineage: Eukaryota; Metazoa; Chordata; Mammalia; Primates; Hominidae
Description: retained intron
Source: RNAcentral